GGCCCCAUCGUCUAACCCGGACAGGACAACGGGCUCUCAAUCCGUAAGUAGGGGUUCAAAUCCCCUUGGGGCCACCA
This 77-nucleotide transfer RNA is filed under the name bacterium. RNAcentral describes it as "tRNA-Glu". It matches the Rfam family "tRNA". Rfam says of the family: Transfer RNA (tRNA) molecules are approximately 80 nucleotides in length. Their secondary structure includes four short double-helical elements and three loops (D, anti-codon, and T loops). Further hydrogen bonds mediate the characteristic L-shaped molecular structure. tRNAs have two regions of fundamental functional importance: the anti-codon, which is responsible for specific mRNA codon recognition, and the 3' end, to which the tRNAs corresponding amino acid is attached (by aminoacyl-tRNA synthetases). tRNAs cope with the degeneracy of the genetic code in two manners: having more than one tRNA (with a specific anti-codon) for a particular amino acid; and 'wobble' base-pairing, i.e. permitting non-standard base-pairing at the 3rd anti-codon position. The record is from RNAcentral.